Momordica charantia (bitter melon) is the source of this 915-nucleotide long non-coding RNA. RefSeq lists it as uncharacterized. The record is from RefSeq and is a predicted model, not a curated record. Lineage: Eukaryota; Viridiplantae; Streptophyta; Magnoliopsida; Cucurbitales; Cucurbitaceae.
UUCUUCUUCCUUAUUUUACUCCUCCUUUUUCUUUAACUUUAUUUGACCUUCCCAAAUAUUACCGUUACCAUUUUACGUAUUUAAGAAAGAGGGAGGUUGCAGAGAACAGGAUACAGAGAGCAAGCAUAGAGGGAGAGCUAGAAGAAAGUUGUGGAGAAGUGAGAUUUAAAAAAUCUAAUUUUUUCCCCUCUUCUUCUUCACUACUCAAAACCCACUUUUCUUUUCCUUUUUCAUUUCCUUCUCUCUUUAAAACUCACCAUCUUCAUCCACCUCCUACCAUAUUCCCACUCUAACAAAGUCUCUUUUUUCUUCUAAUUUCUCUUAACAAAGUUUGGCACCAAUCUGACAAACCUCGAAUCGGCAAUACCUGACGGCGACAGUGACAAAUUCGGGAAGAACACAACAAAGACAAAGCGGUAUAAAAAAGAGGAAUUCUUUGGUGUGCCCGCGAGUCUGAAGCUGUGAAGGAGCACUUAAGCUACUGUGUUGGUGGGAGUCGAGUCACCGGAGAUCUGUGCAUCGGUUGUAGAGGUUGUCAAAAUUUCAUGCUAUUGUAGGUGGAUAGCCCGAUUCGUUGUAUUAUUGCUAUCCGUUGAGAUUGUAGUGCUUUGCGCCGGACUACUGUGAUGUGGGUUGUCGAAGCUUGUGGUCAUCGAGGGAUGUGUGCUGCUGGAGAUCGUUGGGACUUCCUACCGAUGCCGUGGGGUUGCCGGUGUGGGUGAAGAAGAAGAGAAGAUGAUGGUGUUAAAAAGAUAAUAAUAAUAAAGGAGGAGAUGGUGAAGGAAGAAUGAGAAGAUGAUCAUGGUGGUGAGAAAGAAGGGAGUGAAUGAGAUUUUUUUUUGUCUCUCUUCUUUAUGGGUUGUGUCCAUGAUGUGUUUGCUGUCUUCUCUUAAAUACCACUCAACAUAACCGUAA